UACAGAGGUCUCGAGCGUUAAUCGGAGUCACUGGGCUUAAAGGGUGCGUAGGCGGUCCCGCAAGUGCUUUGUGAAAUCCCAUGGCUCAACCAUGGAAUUGCUUGGCAGACUGCGGGGCUUGAGGUCGGUAGAGGUCGCUGGAACUCUAGGUGGAGCGGUGAAAUGCGUAGAUAUCUAGAGGAACGCCGAUGGUGAAGACAGGCGACUGGGCCGAUUCUGACGCUGAGGCACGAAAGCGUGGGGAGCAAACGGG
RNAcentral lists this ribosomal RNA (253 nucleotides) under uncultured bacterium. RNAcentral describes it as "partial 16S ribosomal RNA". It matches the Rfam family "Bacterial small subunit ribosomal RNA", at positions 524 to 776 of the family's 1533-position model. The record is from RNAcentral.